GUUUAUUGAAUAUAUCAAAUAUAUUACAAUGAAAAGAUUGAAUUUAUCCACCCCACCCCACUACAGGCUUUCACCCUCAUCCCCUUCCUGAACUUCUUUUAGAAAAGUAAACACCAAACCAUAACCAUUUCUAUAAUAAACUCAUGACCUUUUCCUUUCAAAUUCAAGAAAAUGUAUACAUAAAGUCAUAAACUGAAUUGUAAAAAUCAGUGAGUUGUAGGAAUCUUGUAUUAUUAUCUUGUACAGCAGAAGAAAAAGAGAAGGCAUAUGGUAAGGCAACAUUAUAAUAACUACAUAUUUGUGAAUGUUAAAAUCAUAUUACUUGAGUUUUAUACUUGCCCAUUUCAGGUACCCAGAUGAUUAUUCUG
RNAcentral lists this unclassified non-coding RNA (368 nucleotides) under Hevea brasiliensis (rubber tree). Lineage: Eukaryota; Viridiplantae; Streptophyta; Magnoliopsida; Malpighiales; Euphorbiaceae. The record is from RNAcentral.